RNAcentral lists this long non-coding RNA (617 nucleotides) under Pan troglodytes (chimpanzee). Its description in RNAcentral is "long non-coding RNA NONPTRT008481". Lineage: Eukaryota; Metazoa; Chordata; Mammalia; Primates; Hominidae. The record is from RNAcentral.
CAUGCCUAUGUAAUGAAGCCUCCAUGAAAACCCAAAAGGACUGGGUUCAGAGAGCUUCCAGAUUGCUGAACACGUGGGGAUUCCUGGAGGAUGAUGUGCUGGGGUGAGGGCAUUGAAGCCCAGUGCCACUUCCCACAUAUGUUGCCCUAGAUCUGUGAGCCAUCCUAGAAGAUUAAUCAGACCUGAGGAGAGGAUGUGGAAACCCCAAAUUUAUAGCUGGUCAGAAGUACAGGUCACCACCUGGCUCUUGAGAUGGACAUCUGAAGUGGAAGGAUCUUGUGGGACUGGUCCCUUAGCCUGUGGGAUCUGACGCUAUCUCCAGACUGAGCAUCGCCCUGUUACCCAGGCUAAAGUGCAGUGGGAAGAUCUCAGCUCACUGCAACCUCUGCCUCCAAGGUUCAAGAGAUUCUCCUGCCUCAGCCUCCCAAGUAGCUGGGAUAAACUAAACUAAACUACUAAACUAAACUAAACUAAACUAAACUGCUAAACUAAGGGGUUUGGAGGGCUCCUGGAUUAUUGAACACGUAAAGGUUCCUGGAGGGUGGUGCAGCCAGAGACGGCAUGGAAGCUCUGCACCCCUCCCCCAUAUCUUGCCCUAUGCAUCUCUUCCUUCUGGC